AUCGAUAACUCCACCGAUACAAAACAGCUGCUUUAAGACGGAAGAAACGCAUCACUAAUAGAAAAACAAAACAGCUGCCGCGCAAUUGAAAAUUGCGCUAAACAAAAGGAGAUACAAAAAAAAAAACCUAUUGACGACGGGCCCAGUUGGACCCCAGUGUACCUACCCUGCCUGAGAUGGCCACAUCGGCGCCAUCUCCCUUGCGUUGGCCACCACGUCAGUGGCCGCUCCUCAUCUGGCGUAGCGCUGCGGAUUUCCCCUCCCCACCAUGCUGAGAAAACUCACACAACCAUGUUCAAGAUAACAAACAAAUAUUUGGACUCUAGAAUGGCAAAGGAGCAAGAUUAAAAAAAAAAUCACGCAGUAGGACGAGAGAAACCACCAUAUAGCCGCAACGGCGUAAAGGACAACUUCUUUUACAUGUAACGCAUCCGGGCGGUUCGUAUAUAUUUAUUUACCAGUUUAUAUACGCAUGUUUUUAUAUAAGUAUUUAUCUACCUUAA
This is a long non-coding RNA of Drosophila nasuta, 503 nucleotides long. RefSeq lists it as uncharacterized. NCBI's taxonomy places the organism in Eukaryota, Metazoa, Arthropoda, Insecta, Diptera, Drosophilidae. The transcript has 3 exons. The record is from RefSeq and is a predicted model, not a curated record.